This 61-nucleotide transfer RNA is filed under the name Bacillus inaquosorum. RNAcentral describes it as "tRNA-OTHER". The record is from RNAcentral. Lineage: Bacteria; Bacillati; Bacillota; Bacilli; Caryophanales; Bacillaceae.
GCCGGGGUGGUGGAAUUGGCANNNGACUACCGUGCCGGUUCAAGUCCGGCCCUCGGCACCA